This 538-nucleotide ribosomal RNA is filed under the name Trigonopterus sp. 113 AR-2022a. RNAcentral's name for it is "partial large subunit ribosomal RNA". The record is from RNAcentral. Lineage: Eukaryota; Metazoa; Arthropoda; Insecta; Coleoptera; Curculionidae.
GGCCUGUUGAAAAUGAUUUCAGGUYUGACCUGCCCAAUGAUGAGUUUAAUGGCCGCGGUAUACUGACCGUGCAAAGGUAGCAUAAUCACUAGUUUUUUAAUUGAAAGCUUGUAUGAAAGGUUUGAUGAAAAAAAUACUGUCUCUGUAAAAAUUUGUUAGAAUUUUAUUUUUAAGUAAGAAAGCUUAAAUGUAUGUAGAAGACGAGAAGACCCUAUAGAGUUUUAUAUUAAACUGUUAAUGAAGUAAAUGGUUUAAAAAAGUUUCAUUAAGUUUUUUUUAUUUUGUUGGGGUGAUAGAAAAAUUAAUAGAACUUUUUUUUUAUGUAUACACUUAUUUGUGAGUAAUUGACCCUGGUUUGUCAGGUUAUAAGAUUAAAUUACCUUAGGGAUAACAGCGUAAUUUUUUUUAGAGUUCUUAUCGAAAAAAAAGAUUGCGACCUCGAUGUUGGAUUAAAAUAUAUAAUUGGUGAAGAAGCUGAAGUUAUUAGGUCUGUUCGACCUUUAAAAUUUUACAUGAUCUGAGUUUAAACCGGCGUGAG